RNAcentral lists this unclassified non-coding RNA (359 nucleotides) under soil metagenome. Its description in RNAcentral is "partial contains 5.8S ribosomal RNA, internal transcribed spacer 2, and large subunit ribosomal RNA". The stretch from base 1 to 120 matches the Rfam family "5.8S ribosomal RNA", at positions 35 to 154 of the family's 154-position model. The record is from RNAcentral.
GAUGAAGAACGUAGCGAAAUGCGAUAAGUAAUGUGAAUUGCAGAAUUCAGUGAAUCAUCGAAUCUUUGAACGCACAUUGCGCCCGCCAGUAUUCUGGCGGGCAUGCCUGUCCGAGCGUCAUUUCAACCCUCGAACCCCUCCGGGGGGUCGGCGUUGGGGACUUCGGGAACCCCUAAGACGGGAUCCCGGCCCCGAAAUACAGUGGCGGUCUCGCCGCAGCCUCUCCUGCGCAGUAGUUUGCACAACUCGCACCGGGAGCGCGGCGCGUCCACGUCCGUAAAACACCCAACUUUCUGAAAUGUUGACCUCGGAUCAGGUAGGAAUACCCGCUGAACUUAAGCAUAUCAAUAAGCGGAGGA